AAGUCGUAACAAGGUUUCCGUAGGUGAACCUGCGGAAGGAUCAUUAAAAGAAUCUGCCUCACCCACAGAUAUCUUAUCACGUGUGAACUGUCUAGCUUGUCACCCAAGAUGGACACCUCAGAGAUCUCGGUCUUUGGGGGGUCUGUCUUGGGGGGCAGCUUAUGCUACUGAUUGUGCCCCGAGAAUCUUUAAAAGACUAUAAAACUUUUAGCAAUGGAUCUCUAGGCUCCU
Molecule: unclassified non-coding RNA, 231 nt
Filed under: fungal sp.
Lineage: Eukaryota; Fungi
Description: partial internal transcribed spacer region
Rfam family: Eukaryotic small subunit ribosomal RNA (bases 1-46)
Source: RNAcentral